Molecule: non-coding RNA, 293 nt
Organism: Danio rerio (zebrafish)
Lineage: Eukaryota; Metazoa; Chordata; Actinopteri; Cypriniformes; Danionidae
Source: RefSeq, a predicted model, not a curated record
UCUUCACCUACUGCUGCAUAAACUGCAUCCACAUACUUCCUGAUCUACAUCAGCUGGAGAAGAAUUACUCCAUACAAGAUGGUCUGAUUGUCGUGGGUGUUCACUCAGCAAAAUUCCCCAAUGAGAAAGUCCUCCAGAACGUACAGAGUGCGGUGUUGAGAUACGACAUCAACCAUCCUGUAGUGAACGACAGCGAUGCCCGUCUGUGGCAGGAGCUGGAGGUGUCCUGCUGGCCCACACUGCUGCUGCUGGGACCCAGAGGAAACUUGCUUUUCUCCCUGGUUGGUGAAGGG